CUCCUCCUGGUCAGGUGGCCUUACUACAUUCAGGAUUCAAAACUAUCCCAGACAACUCCUCCUGGGCAGCUGCGGAGCAGCCAAGGGGAGAAGCGCAGUGUACACGUGGGGGAGAAUGGCAAAGGUGGCUGAGUCACAACAAGACAAGGAACACAUCCUAUAAUGAAGAAUGUGAAAGUCAGUAUAAUAAGAUAAUCGUCUUCUCAUGAAAGAAAAACCAAAUACUGCUUGGCUGAAUACCAGGAUGCAACUAAGAAGAUGAAACAUAGAGUUUUUAUAAGGCUGGUACUUGAAUCAUCCUGAGUGCCUUGCAGCUAUGAAGGACUAUUACCACAAGCUCAGAAGUGAUGCAGAGACAGUCAGUCCAGAUCAAG
Myiozetetes cayanensis is the source of this 374-nucleotide long non-coding RNA. RefSeq lists it as uncharacterized. NCBI's taxonomy places the organism in Eukaryota, Metazoa, Chordata, Aves, Passeriformes, Tyrannidae. The record is from RefSeq and is a predicted model, not a curated record. The transcript is spliced from 3 exons.